This is a long non-coding RNA of Brassica rapa (field mustard), 1353 nucleotides long. RefSeq lists it as uncharacterized. The record is from RefSeq and is a predicted model, not a curated record. Lineage: Eukaryota; Viridiplantae; Streptophyta; Magnoliopsida; Brassicales; Brassicaceae.
AAACAGAUAAUGUCAGUCAAGGCUAUGUUACGAGGAAGCUUCACGCUUUAGUUUUGUAAUGAGGUAUAGGAAGAUGUGAUUGAUUGUGUUAUGUGUGCUAUUACUUUGCUUAUAGAGACAAAGAGGAGAAAGUGGCUUGAAGAUAACCUAUAAACAACUACCAACGACGAGCCUUUUCUCUUCCGUACCUUGAUUAUCCCAUGGUGGGCAUGGAUGAAGCGACACCAUCCACCAGAAGCUGUGAACUCCUCAAUAAAUGGUAAUUUCCAUAUGGUAUGUACUUUGGAACUAUGAUAAAUUUUCUUCUCCUUCUAAAAAGCUUUGCUUAUUUAUGAAUAAAUAAAUGAAAAGGGUCGAAUCUCCAACACGGGAAGUCUUUUUUAUUUGUGUUCAUGGCCUGAUUUGUAUGAUUUAAAUAUAAAGUUUUGGCCUUUUGGGUGGUAGUUUGCUUAAGAGUUUGUCAUUUAGUUUGGUUUUCCUCAAACUUUUCAUUUGUAAUGACUUCUCAAAAAUUGGUUUGGAGGACAAUAGCAUUCAGUUGUUUUGGUUAAACUUAUUCUCUAUCAUAAAAUAGUUCGGCUUGGUAUGAAAAAUAACACUUUAAAAUUAUUGGCUCACGGGGCUGUUACUGUAUAGCCAGUGUGGCAGUGUGGCUGCAUCUGUUGCUGCUAUAGCAGCCUCCACCACCGGGUUCUUCGAUCUUUGGGAAGGAUGAGCAGAUGGCUAAAACUGACAUGGCUGUUUCUUCCGCUGCAACCCUUGCUGGCCUCUGUUGUUUUGCCAUCAGUGUUCGUUAUGCCAGAGAUAUCAUGAUACUUGCUGCCGGUUUACCACAGUGAUAAGAGGAGUGGCGACAUUGAAAGUGAGGGCUAUGAAAGAAGUUUGGAACAUUGCAUCAGUGUUUACAGAGAUAAAGAACUCAUUACUUCUGAAGGAUGCAGCAACAUUAGUAAUUGUAGCAAUGGAAGCUCGAGUAGUAGUCACAGUAGCGAACUUAUACAAGGGGAUAAUUUCUUGGUAAUUAGUGGCAGAGAAUGUCUCGCAAAAGGCUGUCAACUUCUCAAACGUACUUGCCAAGGGUAAGAAGAGAAAGCAGAAAUAAAGCUAAAGCUGAUAUAAAAAAGCAUAUAACAAUGAUGAUGAUGAUAAUGAAGUUACGGGAUCCACUUCUGUCUAUUACUCAGACAUUUUCUUUGAGGAUAACCAAGAUGAAAGACUGUAAAAGAAAUGUCUUAGUAUUGGUCUAUUCUGUGGAAGUAUAAAUAUGUUUAGUUAUAAUGAAUAAAUUAUUUCUUUUACAUUGCGUAAAUCAUUAGUUUCAAAAGAAAAUAUAUAAAGUGAAACAAUUAAAUU